RNAcentral lists this ribosomal RNA (369 nucleotides) under uncultured phototrophic eukaryote. Its description in RNAcentral is "SSU rRNA". It matches the Rfam family "Bacterial small subunit ribosomal RNA", at positions 524 to 896 of the family's 1533-position model. The record is from RNAcentral.
UACGGGGGAUGCAAGCGUUAUCCGGAAUCAUUGGGCGUAAAGCGCCUGUAGGUUGUUUAAUAAGUCUGUUGUUAAAGACUGGGGCUUAACCCCAGGAAAGCAAUGGAAACUACUAGACUAGAGUAUGGUAGGGGUAAAGGGAAUUUCUAGUGUAGCGGUGAAAUGCGUAGAUAUUAGAAAGAACACCGGUGGCGAAAGCGCUUUACUGGACCAUUACUGACACUCAGAGGCGAAAGCUAGGGUAGCCAAAGGGAUUAGAUACCCCUGUAGUCCUAGCCGUAAACGAUGGAUACUAGAUGUUGCGCUUAUUGUGCAGUGUCGUAGCUAACGCGUUAAGUAUCCCGCCUGGGGAGUACGAUCGCAAGGUUG